UACGUAGGGUCCGAGCGUUGUCCGGAAUUACUGGGCGUAAAGAGCUCGUAGGUGGUUUGUCGCGUUGUCCGUGAAAACUCACAGCUCAACUGUGGGCGUGCGGGCGAUACGGGCAGACUGGAGUACUGCAGGGGAGACUGGAAUUCCUGGUGUAGCGGUGGGAUGCGCAGAUAUCAGGAGGAACACCGGUGGCGAAGGCGGGUCUCUGGGCAGUAACUGACGCUGAGGAGCGAAAGCGUGGGGAGCGAACAGG
Molecule: ribosomal RNA, 253 nt
Filed under: uncultured bacterium
Lineage: Bacteria
Description: partial 16S ribosomal RNA
Rfam family: Bacterial small subunit ribosomal RNA
Source: RNAcentral